AUCUCUUGCAUGGAGCAAGUCUGAUGGAGCAACGCCGCGUGAGUGAAGAAGGGUUUCGGCUCGUAAAGCUCUGUUGUUGGUGAAGAAGGACAGGGGUAGUAACUGACCUUUGUUUGACGGUAAUCAAUUAGAAAGUCACGGCUAACUACGUGCCAGCAGCCGCGGUAAUACA
This 172-nucleotide ribosomal RNA is filed under the name uncultured Lactobacillus sp. RNAcentral's name for it is "partial 16S ribosomal RNA". It matches the Rfam family "Bacterial small subunit ribosomal RNA", at positions 359 to 527 of the family's 1533-position model. Lineage: Bacteria; Bacillati; Bacillota; Bacilli; Lactobacillales; Lactobacillaceae. The record is from RNAcentral.